Molecule: long non-coding RNA, 1995 nt
Filed under: Daphnia pulex (common water flea)
Lineage: Eukaryota; Metazoa; Arthropoda; Branchiopoda; Diplostraca; Daphniidae
Description: uncharacterized LOC124204554
Source: RNAcentral
UAGGGACAAUUAAAUUAAAUUAUUUAUGUCGAUAUCUACGCAAACCCGAAAACGCAUCUUGAUAUCCAAAUUUCCCCCUAAACCUUCUCGCUCUACUACAUGUUUUAAACGCGAUCCUCGUAGCUUGUUCCAAGAAAAUCGCCGACGAAGUUGCAUCAUAAUCAAUAAAUCAAUUAAAUCAUGGCCAUUUUUUUCACGACGUGUAUUAAAAUUUUACUAGGAUCGAUUUACACCAGAUUCAAUGUCUGGUGAUCAUCCACUGAAAUUAAAACCAUUUUCUUUGUCAAUAACAUCUAGGGGAGAGUGGGUGAAUGGGAUAAGGUGUCGAUUAGGAAGAGGAGGAAGAGAGGUACACCUUGAGACCAGGGGUUCAAACCCCCUGGAGAGCAUUGUUGGUUGCUCAUAUACCCGCUCUGGCGCCACUGUGGCGUCACAUGCAGGAUUAUCUAACCCCGUGCUGGAGAGGGAACUCUGCGCUUAUGGACGUGCAAUUCUGUCUGAUGGCAAAAUUGUGCGAAUAGGAAGGAUGUUGUUAAAUCUCUUCAUUCGAAACAUGUAAUAAGCAUUGUACAUCAAUCCGACAUCAUUGAAAGGCUGGUCUUUGACGCUGCCAAGACUUGGGAAUUGACGACUCGAUGAGAAUCAAUCAAAGAUAAAACUUAUUGAAAUUUAUUAGCCAACUGAUUUUGGGAAUCGACAACUCGGAACCGAACACAAGGCGAAACUUCCGUCUAGCAAAUCUCGGGGCGACGGACUCGCAUCGCACGUCGAGGAAAAAUUCUCUUCAUUCGCUGUUCUAGAUGAUUUGGAGUGGUCCUUAAUCAUUCGUACCUUAUUGAUGGCGCCUUUUCACAAAAUCAAUUCAGUCCAAGCAAAGCAUCUGCCGUUUGGAUUAGAAUUUCCUUUCGUUUUUCUGAAACACGUGGCCUGAAUUAAACAAAACCAGCAGAGCAACAAGAUUCGUCAUCCGUGUCUAACUACAGCUGUGGCUAAUAUCCAUCGAUGAAGAACUCUCCUUUGAAGAAAUAAUGCGGAUUGACAUCGCUGGGCCCACUGGUGUUUUGGCAACUCCAUCAGAGUCAUGACGUCAUUACACGCUGGUCGUUUCUCAACGGGCCCCUGCAAGAUAACGGUACAAAAACAGUUUACAGCCAUACUACCUGUGCGAUGAGAUUUACAUCACAAUUGGAACCUACUUGUGGGGAAAUCUGCAGGAAUUGCAACGAGUUUAUUCAGCCAGAAUAAAUUUGCGGCCCAGGAAACAUUGCACCAUAUCAUCCAAUCGUUCUUAUCGAGCUGGUUUUUAUGGGGACGGUGGUGUGAAUUGUGCAAGGUUAACGGUUCAUCAACAAGAAGAAAGCGGAUGAUGUGAAAAUUAAAAUUCAUUUCUGUAGUUGCGAUUUUUUCGUGUCAUUUUACGCAAAGCUAGACAGCCAGAUAUUAUUUUACUAAAGUUUAUAAUAAUCACUGAAAUUUCUGUUCCAUAAUCUUUUAGUUUCGCGCGGUUUGGAAACUAAAAAAAAACGUUUGUUUUGAAUUUUUUAUCAUUUCAUGCCAUCUAGGUUUGAUUCAUUAAACCUUGUGUUGGCUUACCAGCGGCCAUUUUCUUUCAACAGUUUUUCACGUUGACACAUCAACACAGUGCACGGUACACACCAAGCUUUCACGUAAAAUGAAGAAGUAAAAAUUCCUUUCCAGCUCCAGUCUUCACAAAAACGAUUUGAUUCACUUUCUUCUCCUGGACAUGCGGAGGACCUAAAUGGACAAUUUCAGCUUCAAUCUUUGAUAACGACAGAUAUCCGACGGCGUCAUUUGUUGCAGUCAAACGUUGCGACAUUUCUGGGGGUAAAUGGCCGAAGAAUUAUCAUUAUUAUCCGUUCAGCGUAAUAAUAAUUUUAAUUUGAAAUGAACGUACCAGUCAAUUCCUUCUUCGAACUGACAAUGAUGAUGUUCGUUUCGAGAAAGUGUUGAAGUGCCGCUGCUUGUUUUUCUUAA